AUGAAGUAUUUUGUCCUUUUAUCCUCAGGCUCCUGUGGACAGAUAAUGAUGACUCAGUAUCCAGCUUUUACUGCUGUGUUUCCAGGAGACACUGUCACCAUCAGAUGUAAAUCACGUUCUAAUUUGCCACUCUUGCUAGACUGGUUCCAACAGAAACCAGGACAACCUCCAAAACGUAUUAUCUCUCAAACAAGUAGCAGAGCCUCAGGGACCCCAGACAGGUUCAGCGGCAGUGGGUCUGAUACAGAUUUCACUCUCACAAUCAGAAAAGUGCAAGCAGAAGAUGCAGCAGAUUAUUACUGUAUGCAAUAUGCAGAGCACCCUCUCGCAGUGAUACAGAGCUGUACAAAAACCUCUCUCUGA
Non-coding RNA from Bombina bombina (fire-bellied toad), 363 nucleotides. The record is from the annotation of a RefSeq genome assembly. Lineage: Eukaryota; Metazoa; Chordata; Amphibia; Anura; Bombinatoridae.